RNA transcript from Diceros bicornis minor, 2627 nucleotides. It is a transcript of the gene named ral guanine nucleotide dissociation stimulator-like, with no coding region annotated. The record is from RefSeq and is a predicted model, not a curated record. The transcript is spliced from 6 exons. Lineage: Eukaryota; Metazoa; Chordata; Mammalia; Perissodactyla; Rhinocerotidae.
GCCAGGGACUCGAACGAGGCUCAGGCCACAUCAUGAGCUUCCUGAGCUCCAGCUCUAAAUUGUGACCCCUGUGUGGGACUUUGUGGGCUGUGGACACAGAGCUAGGGUGUGGUAAGGCUGGGUGACACUCCCCCUGUUCCCCAGGAGCCCUUCCAGAAGGUGGUGCCCUCUCAGUGUCUGGGCUCCACCUGGGGCAAGAGGAACAAGUCCGGCAAUGAGCACCUGGCACACACCGUCCGGGCCAAUAUCGACCACUUCAGAAGGGUGGCCAACCUCGUCAUCACCACCUGCCUCGGGGUCCCGAGCAUGAUGGACCAGGACAGGGCGAGGGUGGUGGAGCGCUGGAUCCAGGUGGCCCAGGUGUGCUGUGGCAGGCCCAGUGGAGCCCCUCUCUGGAGCCUUAGGAACUGCCUCCACCUUUAUCAGCUCCCAGGAUUGCAGUGUGUGGUCUAAGCCCCUGCAAGUCCCUAGGUCCUUCCUGCCAGGAGCACGCUGAUUUUGACUCCAGGUCCCAGUGCGGGGAUGCUCACUUCCUACGUGACUCCCUCCUUGGGUUGAGCUAAAAUCCUCCUCCUUGUGAGUGUUACACUUUGGGUCCUAAAUGUGCCCUUCUGGGGCUCCCUGAACAUCUGUCUAUUCCAGGAGGGGAGAUUUAAAUAGAAGGGUACUGAAGCUAGAGCAAGCAGGGCUCCAGCGCCCCACCUCACAGCUCAUUCUCUUCCCUUCCCCAGGAGUUCGAGAUCCUGAAGAACUUCUCCUCGCCCCGCACUGUCAUCUCUGCUCUGCAGAAAACAUCCAUAUGCCACUUGAAGAACACAUGGGGGAAGUUUCCUGGGAGAGCUCUGAAAAAUUUAAGGAGCGCUAUAGCCAAGACGUGUCCUUGAACAGAGAACUGAUGACCAAGGUCAAACACCAAGGGUAGAGGUCUUCAAGAGAUCAAGUCUAAUCUACCUACGGGUGUGGCAGGCUUACCUAUGGAUGUUCAAGCCAGACAUUGCCAGAAGAACUACAUCUCUUCACCCAUAGAAAAAUGAAUGAUGUGACCAUUUGGUGCAGGACAACAGCAUUAUGUUCACCAGUCUCUGUACUGUAUGUUACUGCACAGCACGGACUGUAGGAAAAAGCCCAGAGGAGCAAUGAAGACAAAGAAGACACGACACCUGCAAAAAGUCAGUGAAGUAUUUCUACACAACAAACCUUCCAGCUACUCUGACUCCAAAUACUACAGCACCACAUGCUUCUCAGACUGGUGGAUGCACAGCUCCACUUCUUUGCAGAGAGGAUGCACAACAGCAGAAUAUCCGUGGCCCGACUUUCUGGAGCAUCAGUACUACUACAAGAUUUAGAAAAAGCAAAGUUAGGUCAUUUCCAAGGUUCUCCGCCACCAACUUCCAUAACCAUCAGGAUAUUCUACAACUUCUGCAAGAGUAACAAUUUUACCUUACACUGUAUUUGUCUCAUGUGGUUUAAAACAUCCAGAAAUCAUUGAUAAACUGACCCUGCCCAAACUAAAGCAUGGUGAGUUAUAAAAGAUGGUCGCUGUUAAGUGGGGAGGGAUUGCAGGUUGAACUUAAUUUUAUAAGUGGUCAAUUUAUUACAAUAUAUUGUUCUAUUAUCUAUUUCACUUCUUUUUUAAAAAAAGUGAUAUUUGAGGGCACUUAGAUAAUAAAAAGUUGAGAAGAUAAAGAACUGAUAUACUCUGUAAGCUUGAAAUGUUUUCAAGCAUAAGAUACAAUAAGAACUAAAACUAAGAAAUGGCAGAGGAAAUAGAGAUAAGAGGAUGAAAUUGCAAAACUGAAUCUAUAAUAAUAUCUCAAUGGCUAGCGCUGUGGUGCCAAGAAGGUGGUGUAGUCAAAGAAUUCGUAAAGAUGAUAAUAGACUGCAAAUAAAAAAGACUGAAAUUUUUGCAGAGAGAAUUUUUACAGCGAUAUUACAGAUAGAGAACAGGGAAGAGAAGUUGGAGUGAGAGACUAUCUUCUUAAAUUACUUCCUCUGUAGAGAACAAAAAACCAAUUUGCUGAAAUCUUUAUUCCCUUCUAUGACCCUGUGGAAGAUCAAGAUUUGGCCACCCUGAAAUCUAUCUCUUUACCUUGGUUGUUUUCUCUGAGGGCAUUUGACCUCCCCCACUAACUGCCUAAAGAAUUUAAAACAAAACAUCUGUUUCAGGAAGGAGUUAUUAUCAUGAUGGCUGUAAAUAUAAUGUACAAUAGAUAUUACAAUAGAAAAGACACCAACAAGCCCAUCUUAUCAGAAGUUCUGUCUCUGACCAUAUUCUUUGGAUGGCCCUGCAAGGAGUUGCCAGACAGACAUUUACAUUUAUAAGGGAAAUCUCCAUUUGUAAAGGUAUCUGCCUCUCUGAAUUGGGAAGAGGGGGAAUGACCUCAUUUCUAGAAACUUAUCAAUGUAAAAGGUGAGGCCUUAAAUCUGCAUAAUAACCUCACUCUUGUUUACUGUGCUUUAGUGGUAAUCUCCUGUAACUGACUCCCCCCACCCCCAACAACUUCCUUUGUCAUUGGCUGAACAUGAUAUUUAAGAUGAGAAUUCUGCUAUUGUGUUGAGAAACGCAGUGUCCUUGCUUUCUCCCAUGCAUACAUGUUAUUAAACUUGGUAUUAUUUUCUCCUUCUAA